CUUCACCGAGCCGACCCACAACGGCCGCCCCUCUGCGCGUCCCUGGCCGUAGGUGGCCAGCAGCGCCUGGGCCUC
Molecule: antisense RNA, 75 nt
Filed under: Allokutzneria albata
Lineage: Bacteria; Bacillati; Actinomycetota; Actinomycetes; Pseudonocardiales; Pseudonocardiaceae
Description: Kibdelosporangium albatum ASpks TB sRNA
Rfam family: ASpks TB sRNA
Source: Rfam by way of RNAcentral